GACGAAGGGGGCUAGCGUUGUUCGGAAUUACUGGGCGUAAAGCGCGUGUAGGCGGUUGCCCAAGUCGGGUGUGAAAGCCUUGAGCUCAACUCAAGAAAUGCACUCGGUACUGGGUGACUAGAGGACCGGAGAGGAUAGUGGAAUUCCCAGUGUAGUGGUGAAAUACGUAGAGAUUGGGAAGAACACCAGUGGCGAAGGCGGCUAUCUGGACGGUUUCUGACGCUAAGACGCGAAAGCGUGGGGAGUAAACAGG
Molecule: ribosomal RNA, 253 nt
Filed under: uncultured bacterium
Lineage: Bacteria
Description: partial 16S ribosomal RNA
Rfam family: Bacterial small subunit ribosomal RNA
Source: RNAcentral